Molecule: non-coding RNA, 73 nt
Organism: Podarcis lilfordi (Lilford's wall lizard)
Lineage: Eukaryota; Metazoa; Chordata; Lepidosauria; Squamata; Lacertidae
Source: the annotation of a GenBank genome assembly
UCCCUGGUGGUCUAGUGGUUAGGAUUUGGUGCUCUCACUGUCACGGCCUGGGUUCGAUUCCCGGUCAGUGGAU